CUGGGCGUAAAGCGUGCGCAGGCGGUUAUUUAAGCCAGAUGUGAAAGCCCCGGGCUCAACCUGGGAAUUGCAUUUGGAACUGGGUAACUAGAGUCUUGUAGAGGGAGGUAGAAUUUCAGGUGUAGCGGUGAAAUGCGUAGAUAUCUGAAGGAAUACCGGUGGCGAAGGCGGCCUCCUGGACAAAGACUGACGCUCAUGCACGAAAGCGUGGGGAGCAAACAGGAUUAGAUACCCUGGUAGUCCACGCCGUAAACGAUGUCUACUMGGAGUUUGGUGCCUUGAGCWCUGRGCUCUCAAGCUAACGCAUUAAGUA
Molecule: ribosomal RNA, 313 nt
Filed under: uncultured bacterium
Lineage: Bacteria
Description: bacterial SSU rRNA
Rfam family: Bacterial small subunit ribosomal RNA
Source: RNAcentral